Salvia splendens (bonfire salvia) is the source of this 1575-nucleotide long non-coding RNA. RefSeq lists it as uncharacterized. Lineage: Eukaryota; Viridiplantae; Streptophyta; Magnoliopsida; Lamiales; Lamiaceae. The transcript has 3 exons. The record is from RefSeq and is a predicted model, not a curated record.
GAGUAUUUAUCAUCCUCCCAUAUACCUAUGAAUCUUGCCUAUAAAAAAUGAAUGGCUUUAAUUGAUUGAUAGGCUUUGAUACGAGCACAUGUCGGUCAGGUGCAGCGGCAAAGGUUUUGAUUCCUCCAGGCAAUUUCAUGGCGUCAGAAGUUGUGUUUGCACCGCUACAAAACCCAUCAUUCUUGAAAUCCAAGGCACUCUCCUCGCCAAUACUCAUCUCAGCUCCUAUUCACAAGGUGCUUGGAUCUCCAUCGACAGAGUCGCCGGCCUCCUCCUCACUGGAAAAUCCGUUUGGAAAUACGGCACCGACAGCGACCUCCCUCUUCUCCCCGUCGUAUUUUUUUCAAUUUGGUCCGUUCCGUUCAUAAAAAUUAGGCAUAAACAAACUACUAAUCGUUAUUUAUUAAUAACAGGGUAAAGUCAGUGGAAAAUGCGAAGGUUGAUGGUUUGAAAGUAGUAAACAGCAUGGGUUUCCAUUUAGAGGUUAAAACAUAGAUAUAAGCAAAGUGGGUAUACAGCCCCUUCACCCACGGAAUCCACCUCACCAAUUCUACAAAUGUUAAGAUAACUGACUCCGUCAUCGGAACUGGAGACGACUGUGUUUCCAUUGGCUAACCAUGUGGCCCCAGUCACGGUCUCAGGUAACCCUAGCUUGUUACUAUUUUAUUAGCAGGAUCGCACUCCACCAAACCUAUCUUAUAAGCAUACAAAAUUAUUACUUAGCAAGUUAGCAAUUCGAAAAUUUUUAAAAAUUGAGGACACCGAGAAAAAUGCCCUUAGGUUGAGGGCACAAUUGUCUACUACACCAUAAUCUUUUAUUUUUCUAAGACGCUUUCGUUUGCAUUCCUUAAUUUUAGUUGAAAUGCAAAGAUUGAAAACAUUUUUUAAAGUGUAGGUGAUGUAUUUGAAAACACACAUUAACAUCUUUAUUAACUAAAAAUGUCCUUAUUUUUGUAAUCUCGAAUCUAUUUUAUUGAAAUUAGUAUGAUAAUUCAAAGGUGUUGAGUAUCGGUGGCGCACACUCAAACUCCACAUUAGUAUGAUAUUGUCCGCUUUGGGCUGUACUCCCCAAAAAACCUCAUACUAAUGGAGUUGGGGUAGCCCUUAUAUAUGCUUGCAACUCUUGUUCAUUCGGGAAUUGUUUGCCCUCACAAAAGCAAUCAAGCGUGAGGCUGAGCGAUAUUCACUUCAGAGACAUAAGCGGCACGUCGAUUUCUCCAAUAUCAAUAAAUUUGAACUGCAGUUCGCGAGUCCCAUGUGAAAAGGCCAAAUCAUUCCUUCCAUGCCAGACCGAUGCUCUUGAAUCUCAUCUCCACACUCUUUACCUCGACGCUAAUUUCAUAUUCGUUUAAUUCUGAUUAUAUGUAAAUUGAAGAAAAAAGCACUGUGUACUAUGUGCGUGCACUACUUGUUCUUGCCCCAAGUUUACAUAGUUUCAGAAAUAAUUUGUAAUCAGGGGCGGACACACUAGGAAAGAGGGUAGGGCUUAAGCCCUUACCCAAUUUUUCAUUUUUCUGUAUUUCCUACUUCCAUAUUUUUCAAAAUUCUGAAAAAUGAUGUUAAGCCCUUACCAAA